This 408-nucleotide ribosomal RNA is filed under the name uncultured bacterium. RNAcentral describes it as "partial 16S ribosomal RNA". It matches the Rfam family "Bacterial small subunit ribosomal RNA", at positions 28 to 526 of the family's 1533-position model. The record is from RNAcentral.
GACGAACGCUGGCGGCGUGCUUAACACAUGCAAGUCGAACGAAGUGGCGACCGGGUGAGUACCGCGUAAUCAACCUGCCCUUCAGAGGGGGACAACAGUUGGAAACGACUGCUAAUACCCCAUACUGAGGGAGGGGAUUGCGUCUGAUUAGCUAGUUGGAGGGGUAACGGCCCACCAAGGCGAUGAUCAGUAGCCGGUCUGAGAGGAUGAACGGCCACAUUGGGACUGAGACACGGCCCAGACUCCUACGGGAGGGAGCAGUGGGGAAUCUUCCGAAAUGGACGAAAGUCUGACGGAGCAACGCGGCGUGAGUGAGGACGGCCUUCGGGUGGGAAAGCGCUUUUAAUCGGGACGCGGUACCGGAAUAGAAAGCCACGGCUAACUACGUGCCAGCAGCCGAGGUAAUAC